Molecule: ribosomal RNA, 463 nt
Filed under: uncultured soil bacterium
Lineage: Bacteria
Description: bacterial SSU rRNA
Rfam family: Bacterial small subunit ribosomal RNA
Source: RNAcentral
AGACUGAACGCUGGCGGCAUGCCUAACACAUGCAAGUCGAACGGCAGCACAGCCCCGCAAGGGGUGGGUGGCGAGUGGCGGACGGGUGAGGAAUACAUCGGAAUCUGCCCUGUUGUGGGGGAUAACCCAUCGAAAGGUGGGCUAAUACCGCAUGAGACGGUGACGUGAAAGCGGGGGACCUGUGAGGGCCUCGCGCGACGGGAUGAGCCGAUGUCGGAUUAGCUAGUUGGUAGGGUAAAGGCCUACCAAGGCUACGAUCCGUAGCUGGUCUGAGAGGAUGAUCAGCCACACUGGGACUGAGACACGGCCCAGACUCCGUACGGGAGGCAGCAGGUGGGAAUAGUUGGACAAGUGGGCGCAAGCCUGAUCCAGCAAUGCCGCGUGUGUGAAGAAGGUCCGUUCGGUUAGUAAAGCUACUUUUAGUACGGGAGACGAAAAGGCGGACGGUAGAAGUACGUCCCGG